GAUGUACGCUGGCGGCGUGCCUAAUACAUGCAAGUCGAGCGAACAGACGAGGAGCUUGCUCCUCUGACGUUAGCGGCGGACGGGUGAGUAACACGUGGAUAACCUACCUAUAAGACUGGGGUAACUUCGGGAAACCGGAGCUAAUACCGGAUAAUAUAUUGAACCGCAUGGUUCAAUAGUGAAAGACGGUUUUGCUGUCACUUAUAGAUGGAUCCGCGCCGCAUUAGCUAGUUGGUAAGGUAACGGCUUACCAAGGCAACGAUGCGUAGCCGACCUGAGAGGGUGAUCGGCCACACUGGAACUGAGACACGGUCCAGACUCCUACGGGAGGCAGCAGUAGGGAAUCUUCCGCAAUGGGCGAAAGCUUGACGGAGCAACGCCGCGUGAGUGAUGAAGGUCUUCGGAUCGUAAAACUCUGUUAUUAGGGAAGAACAAAUGUGUAAGUAACUAUGCACGUCUUGACGGUACCUAAUCAGAAAGCCACGGCUAACUACGUG
RNAcentral lists this ribosomal RNA (497 nucleotides) under uncultured bacterium. RNAcentral's name for it is "partial 16S ribosomal RNA". It matches the Rfam family "Bacterial small subunit ribosomal RNA", at positions 28 to 507 of the family's 1533-position model. The record is from RNAcentral.